GCUGGUGACUUGGCGUCAUGGCACCACCUCUUCCCAUUCCGAACAGAGAAGUGAAACGUGAUAGCGGCGAUGAUACUCUUUCAGGGGAAAGUAGCUCGUCGCCAGCU
RNAcentral lists this ribosomal RNA (107 nucleotides) under Candidatus Niyogibacteria bacterium CG10_big_fil_rev_8_21_14_0_10_42_19. Lineage: Bacteria; Candidatus Niyogiibacteriota. The record is from RNAcentral.